Molecule: non-coding RNA, 75 nt
Organism: Araneus ventricosus
Lineage: Eukaryota; Metazoa; Arthropoda; Arachnida; Araneae; Araneidae
Source: the annotation of a GenBank genome assembly
UCCUUGGUGACUUAGUGGUAUAGUUUUGGCUUUUCGGGCCGGAGAGUUCCAGGUUCGAAACCGGAUUCCAUGGAA